AGCGAACGCUGGCGGCAGGCUUAACACAUGCAAGUCGAGCGGGCAUCCUUGUGGUGUCAGCGGCAGACGGGUGAGUAACGCGUGGGAACGUGCCCUUCGGUUCGGAAUAACUCAGGGAAACUUGAGCUAAUACCGGAUACGUGCGAGAGCAGAAAGGUUUAUCUGCCGAAGGAUCGGCCCGCGUCUGAUUAGCUAGUUGGUGAGGUUAUGGCUCACCAAGGCGACGAUCAGUAGCUGGUCUGAGAGGAUGAUCAGCCACACUGGGACUGAGACACGGCCCAGACUCCUACGGGAGGCAGCAGUGGGGAAUAUUGGACAAUGGGGGCAACCCUGAUCCAGCCAUGCCGCGUGAGUGAUGACGGCAUUAGGGUUGUAAAGCUCUUUUCUCCGGGACGAUAAUGACGGUACCGGAGGAAUAAGCCCCGGCUAACUUCGU
Molecule: ribosomal RNA, 436 nt
Filed under: uncultured bacterium
Lineage: Bacteria
Description: partial 16S ribosomal RNA
Rfam family: Bacterial small subunit ribosomal RNA
Source: RNAcentral